AUUUCCCACACUUUCGGGUGUGGGGCUCGCGUCCACUUUGUGGUUCCCGACAGACGAUCGGGAACAUGAAACUGAAUACCGCUACACCCGCAUUCUUUGGGGUGUCAGCCGGGACAGCUUUCGGAUCCGUUCGGGUCGAAGGUGUUCCGGUGGUCAUAGCGAGAGGGAAACGCCCGGUCACAUUCCGAACCCGGAAGCUAAGCCUCUCAGCGCCGAUGGUACUGCAAGGGGGACCUUGUGGGAGAGUAGGACGCCGCCGGAC
This 262-nucleotide ribosomal RNA is filed under the name Curtobacterium flaccumfaciens. The record is from RNAcentral. Lineage: Bacteria; Bacillati; Actinomycetota; Actinomycetes; Micrococcales; Microbacteriaceae.